Molecule: ribosomal RNA, 403 nt
Filed under: uncultured bacterium
Lineage: Bacteria
Description: bacterial SSU rRNA
Rfam family: Bacterial small subunit ribosomal RNA
Source: RNAcentral
GGGGGAUAUUGCACAAUGGAGGAAACUCUGAUGCAGCAACGCCGCGUGAGGGAAGAAGGUCUUCGGAUUGUAAACCUUUGUCCUUGGUGACGAAACAAAUGACGGUACCUGAAGAAUAAGCCACGGCUCACUACGUGCCAGCAGCCGCGGUAAUACGUAGGGAGCAAGCGUUGUCCGGAUUUACUGGGUGUAAAGGGUGCGUAGGCGGCUCUGCAAGUCAGGCGUGAAAACUAUGGGCUUAACCCAUAGACUGCGUUUGAAACUGUGGGGCUUGAGUGAAGUAGAGGUAGGCGGAAUUCCCGGUGUAGCGGUGAAAUGCGUAGAGAUCGGGAGGAACACCAGUGGCGAAGGCGGCCUACUGGGCUUUAACUGACGCUGAAGCACGAAAGCAUGGGUAGCAAAC